UAGGGAAUCUUCGGCAAUGGGGGCAACCCUGACCGAGCAACGCCGCGUGAGUGAAGAAGGUUUUCGGAUCGUAAAGCUCUGUUGUAAGAGAAGAACGUGUGUGAGAGUGGUAAGUUCACACAGUGACGGUAACUUACCAGAAAGGGACGGCUAACUACGUGCCAGCAGCCGCGGUAAUACGUAGGUCCCGAGCGUUGUCCGGAUUUAUUGGGCGUAAAGCGAGCGCAGGCGGUUUAAUAAGUCUGAAGUUAAAGGCAGUGGCUUAACCAUUGGUCGCUUUGGAAACUGUUAAACUUGAGUGCAGAAGGGGAGAGUGGAAUUCCAUGUGUAGCGGUGAAAUGCGUAGAUAUAUGGAGGAACACCGGUGGCGAAAGCGGCUCUCUGGUCUGUAACUGACGCUGAGGCUCGAAAGCGUGGGGAGCAAACAGG
RNAcentral lists this ribosomal RNA (429 nucleotides) under bacterium. RNAcentral's name for it is "partial 16S ribosomal RNA". It matches the Rfam family "Bacterial small subunit ribosomal RNA", at positions 355 to 776 of the family's 1533-position model. The record is from RNAcentral.